UCCCAUGACAAACCAAGCCAAGCCAAACCAAUCUCAACUCUACCACGGAGAUGGAGCAAUUUUAUGACAGGAAAAUAAAGCCAUAACAUCUCGCGCUGUAAUUCAAUAUAUAUAUAAUAUACUAUAUACAUACUAUAACAAGACCUGGGUGGAUGGCAGCCCCGACAGGUUUGUCAUCACAAAUACUUCCUUACAGAUCAACGGCCUGUGCCAUAUUUUUUGUAGGAUUUGAGUCCCCACGUCCGUUGGACUUGGACCUGUCCUUUAUUGGCUUGUUAGAGCCCGGUGUCACUUUUGCAGCAGUUUUGCCUGUCUUGCUGGUUUGAGAUCCGGUUCCUUCACCUGCUCAAAUCAAAACAGUGAAAGAAUAAAUUAGCAAAAUGCAAAAUGAGUGCAAGAGGGACACUGUCGUUAUGCAUUUUUGAACCUGAUCAAACCUAAAAUUAGCAGUAAACAUAGAACAAUGAACAACAGUGAUAUCCAUUGGGCUUCAUGGAAUAAUGUGUCAGAGCAACAUUCUUACAUCACGCAAUUGUUUUGACAACAGCCGGCGUGAACCAGAAAAUUUAAUGUUAAUAAUCAGGGAUCAGAGGGUUGAAAAUUAUCAUGCAUUCACCAUUGGCAACAAACAAGCAUUAACCAAUUGCCACUCCAACCAGUAGAAUGGUUUACAUCGAGGAGAAUAUACCUAUAUAUUGUGGACAACAGAGAGAGAGCUUACCACUGUUAGGUAGAGACAAUCUCUUUGUCACCAGUUUAUCUGAUUUUAUGGACCUCUCCUUAGGAUUGCUGCGAGAUCUUGAAGUAAUAACAGGUUUUGAGCCAGCUUCUUCACCCAAAUCUUCAAUGAUUGGUUUGGACUUUGGCUUGGAAGAUAAUGCAUUGACCGCAUCUACCACAUUUGCUGACUUACCAGGUGGAGAAUCACUCCCUUCAGAAUAUGACAGACCUAUUUUUAGAUUUGACAGGUUAGCAUGAAGAUU
Molecule: long non-coding RNA, 983 nt
Filed under: Gossypium raimondii (Peruvian cotton)
Lineage: Eukaryota; Viridiplantae; Streptophyta; Magnoliopsida; Malvales; Malvaceae
Description: long non-coding RNA (GRAI_LNC004822)
Source: RNAcentral